GCCCCCAUCGUCUAGUGGCCUAGGACACCGCCCUUUCAAGGCGGCGGCACGGGUUCGAAUCCCGUUGGGGGCA
RNAcentral lists this transfer RNA (73 nucleotides) under Pseudonocardiaceae bacterium. RNAcentral's name for it is "tRNA-Glu". It matches the Rfam family "tRNA". From Rfam's summary of the family: Transfer RNA (tRNA) molecules are approximately 80 nucleotides in length. Their secondary structure includes four short double-helical elements and three loops (D, anti-codon, and T loops). The record is from RNAcentral. RNAcentral also lists the same sequence under 9 other names. Lineage: Bacteria; Bacillati; Actinomycetota; Actinomycetes; Pseudonocardiales; Pseudonocardiaceae.